AGUCGAGAAUAAUUCACAAUGGACGAAAGUCUGAUGGUGCAACGCCGCGUGGAGGAUGAAGGUCUUCGGAUUGUAAACUCCUGUCAUUUGAGAGUAAGACCUGGCGGUGAAUAGCCGACAGGGUUGAUAGUAUCAAAAGAGGAAGGGACGGCUAACUUCGUGCCAGCAGCCGCGGUAAUACGAAGGUCCCGAGCGUUGUUCGGAAUCACUGGGCGUAAAGGGAGCGUAGGCGGUUAGGUAAGUCAGAUGUGAAAUCCCGGGGCUCAACCUCGGAACUGCAUCCGAUACUGCCUGACUAGAGUAAUGGAGGGGUAACUGGAAUUCUCGGUGUAGCAGUGAAAUGCGUAGAUAUCGAGAGGAACACUCGUGGCGAAGGCGAGUUACUGGACAUUUACUGACGCUGAGGCUCGAAGGCCAGGGUAGCGAA
Molecule: ribosomal RNA, 427 nt
Filed under: uncultured Haloferula sp.
Lineage: Bacteria; Pseudomonadati; Verrucomicrobiota; Verrucomicrobiia; Verrucomicrobiales; Verrucomicrobiaceae
Description: bacterial SSU rRNA
Rfam family: Bacterial small subunit ribosomal RNA
Source: RNAcentral